GUGGGGCAGUGAAAACCCUAGAUCGCGAAGCACCCAAUCCCCGCGUCUCCUCCUCCCUUCUCAGCCUCGCUCGAGUGGAGGCAGGUGGGGAACAGAGGCGGCUCGACGACGCAGCGGUGCGAUGGGGCUGGGCUGGUGCGGGGAAGGGCGGCUGCUAUGCAUCGCGGGUCGAGGGCGCGGUGGUGGGUUGGCGGCGGCGACCUGUGUGGCGGCGACGACGGCGUGCGGGAGGAGGAGGGAGGCGGAGCUGCGCCGGCCGCCCAGGUGACAAAGAGGAGGCUGGGGCGCAGCGUGGAGGUGACGGUCGGCCCGCCUGUAGAUGCGAGGCACGGGAGCGGCGAUUGUCGCGGGUCAACGACGCGGUGAUGGGCUGGCGGCAGCGACCUGGCGCGAUGGGGGAUGACCUGGGGCUGACCACCGGACGUGCGGGGACGGAGCGGCAGGUGGUAGCGCGGGGAUGAGGUUCGUCUUGCUUCUCCCUCCUCUCUUUCUCUGUGUAUCUCUCUCUCAUCUCUCACUCUCGUUUUUCUCCUUUUUAUCAUGGACGGCGGCCGGAUCUUUUGGAGAAAGCGGCGCGGUGAUGGACUACUGGAUGCCUAGAAGGGAGGAAGAAGGGGCGGGUGGCAUGGCCUCAACGGGACGAGGAGGAGGCGGAUUCCGGCAUGGCCUGCACGGCUGCACUUUCUUCUCGGUACCUUCGCGUCUAUGGCCUCCUCGCUGUCAAAAUAGAUUGAUCUAAAUCAUCCUUUCGACUCGUGGAGGGCUUGGUGGUCAGCGGCAAGGAUCUGGUUUCUUCUUGCUAAGAUGAGGCAGUGGCAUCUAAAACGGUCUUGUCUCUUACACCACUUGAUGUGCAGCUCAUCCCGCACUACAGCUGGGAAGGAAGGCCCCAAGGCGAA
Lolium perenne is the source of this 899-nucleotide non-coding RNA. The record is from RefSeq and is a predicted model, not a curated record. NCBI's taxonomy places the organism in Eukaryota, Viridiplantae, Streptophyta, Magnoliopsida, Poales, Poaceae.